UAAGGAGUGUUUGCAACAAAA
Molecule: non-coding RNA, 21 nt
Filed under: Caenorhabditis elegans
Lineage: Eukaryota; Metazoa; Nematoda; Chromadorea; Rhabditida; Rhabditidae
Source: RNAcentral